GUCCCCAUCGUCUAGAGGCCUAGGACAUCGCCCUUUCACGGCGGUAACGGGGGUUCGAAUCCCCCUGGGGAC
RNAcentral lists this transfer RNA (72 nucleotides) under Legionella pneumophila. RNAcentral's name for it is "tRNA-Glu". It matches the Rfam family "tRNA". Rfam says of the family: Transfer RNA (tRNA) molecules are approximately 80 nucleotides in length. The record is from RNAcentral. Lineage: Bacteria; Pseudomonadati; Pseudomonadota; Gammaproteobacteria; Legionellales; Legionellaceae.